UGGGGAAUAUUGCACAAUGGGCGCAAGCCUGAUGCAGCCAUGCCGCGUGUGUGAAGAAGGCCUUCGGGUUGUAAAGCACUUUCAGCGGGGAGGAAGGCGUUAAGGUUAAUAACCUUGGCGAUUGACGUUACCCGCAGAAGAAGCACCGGCUAACUCCGUGCCAGCAGCCGCGGUAAUACGGAGGGUGCAAGCGUUAAUCGGAAUUACUGGGCGUAAAGCGCACGCAGGCGGUUUCUUAAGUCUGAUGUGAAAGCCCCCGGCUCAACCGGGGAGGGUCAUUGGAAGCUGGGAGACUUGAGUGCAGAAGAGGGGAGUGGAAUUCCAUGUGUAGCGGUGAAAUGCGUAGAUAUAUGGAGGAACACCAGUGGCGAAGGCGGCUCUCUGGUCUGUAACUGACGCUGAGGCUCGAAAGCGUGGGGAGCAAACAGG
Molecule: ribosomal RNA, 429 nt
Filed under: Chloroflexota bacterium
Lineage: Bacteria; Bacillati; Chloroflexota
Description: Chloroflexi bacterium partial 16S ribosomal RNA
Rfam family: Bacterial small subunit ribosomal RNA
Source: RNAcentral